Molecule: long non-coding RNA, 359 nt
Filed under: Dermacentor andersoni
Lineage: Eukaryota; Metazoa; Arthropoda; Arachnida; Ixodida; Ixodidae
Description: uncharacterized LOC126531860
Source: RNAcentral
GAUCUCGCAGCAACACCUGCAAUAAAAAGCAGAAGCAGUCAAAGUGCUGGUGUGUCCUCGACACUAUGUUUGAAAACUUUUAGGCAAGAAGGGUGCAAGAAGCAAGCAACACAACUGCAUUUAUUUCCAUAAUUCCCCAUUUUAAUGGCCUUUUCUUUUUGCUUAGACAAUGCCUACGCCUAGCCACAGCAGCUCCCUCGUACAGACUCCGCAAGCCAAGAGGCCGUGGAGGCAAAUGCAGGCAGCCAGCACACCUCGAACAGCCACCUUCACUGCGGGUGUGUCAGUAGAUUCCUGUUGUACAUAUGCUCAUAAUAAACUUCAGUAAACUUGAACUUCAUAAUAAACUUGAAGGCAAA